This is a long non-coding RNA of Notothenia coriiceps (black rockcod), 2411 nucleotides long. RefSeq lists it as uncharacterized. The record is from RefSeq and is a predicted model, not a curated record. The transcript is spliced from 3 exons. NCBI's taxonomy places the organism in Eukaryota, Metazoa, Chordata, Actinopteri, Perciformes, Nototheniidae.
CCAGUAGAGUCAACAAAGAUUCUUCUGUUUUUUUCAGGUGCUGUGUUCUACCUAGAGUUCAAUAAAGAAGACAUCCUUCACAUCUGCAUGUUUUUGUUGGGAUCUGCAUUCUGUUUCCUUGGAGUGUAUCUCAUCACCAAAAACAGGAAAAAGACAAAGAACUUUGAGCCAUAUGUGACUAUGGAAAUGGUUGAUGGAGUCCCAACUAUUCAUGACAAAGGCCUGGUUGUUCAGCCAGACUCCAAUGGCUCUUUCUCCUAUGGAGCCCUGGUCAACAAUGAUGGAGCUGCUCCUGCUACACAUUCGGUCAACCUGGAACUAACACCGGUCCGCUCCAGGUCCACUGAAGCAUCUCAUGGCCAGCCAGACCUAAAGAGAGAUUAAAACAGAGUAUUUUCCCCUUCAUUCAACAAAAAGACAACAUACAAGGAGCUUGGAAGGCCAUGAUGGGUAUGUUCAGCUCUUUUCACAUGUACUCUCACAUGUACUCUGGGCCAACCUCCAGCCCAGUAGAGGGUGUUAACUGGGUGCCUUACACUCCAUUCACAUGCUUUGCUUUCUAUAAUCUCUUCACCAAAACCUGACCAUAAGUAGCAUUCCUUUUUGAGAAGAUGUCGGCUGUUAUCAUUCCAAAAUGAAGAGAGGAAACCUGAAGCUGCUGGAGGUUUUAUUUGGAUUCACAGCAGAGCAGAUGUUGUGCCUUGGAGCUUACUGCCUUCACUGUGUUAGAAUGGAGAUCUAAGGACUCACUCCCAUGACUGUUAAGCUAUUCUUCGCUCAUUAAUGACGACAUUAAGGGGUCUGUUCUUCCAUUGAGGAUUUUGAAGUUACUCCUCAACAUUAUAAAAUAUAGCUGCAGACUUGCCAAUGAACUUUUUGACCUUAAAUAUCUGCCUCUAACUUUUUUAUUAUGUGAGCGGUUUUUACUCCGCAAUUUUGCCUCCUGCUGUAGGAAUUUCAUUGUAUUACUACUUUCCUGAUGUGAGCAAACAAUGGGGGGCACAUUUUCUAAUUUAUUAUAAUGUAUUUAUCUAUUGAAGUUAGCUCUUAGUGUGCCUUAACAAGUCGCAGUACACUGGAAGUUACUGUAAUAACUGUGAGGUGUUACAUGACCCAGGAGGGUAAUUCAAGCAUCACCGUAGCAGUUUAGUUGUAAACAAAAAGUUACUGUAAUCUGUUUAUUGAAAUCUGAACCCAUUGAAAAGAAGGUGGUCACUUAAAAAGAAGAGAAUUAAAUUAUACAAGCCUCUUGAAAUUACUGAUGAACUGUACAACUAUUUAAAUGUGAACUGUACGUUUAAGGUUGGGUAGUCUACUGUUUGUGUACAUUUUGAAAAUAAUUUUGCUUUCCUUUUUAACCUGAUAACCUUGAAGUUUCUGAUGACAAACAAAUCAAGAAAUAAAAGUUAACAUUUGCAUAUACAUUAUGUUUUUGGAAAUGUAACCUUCCCAUCAAAAUGUUACAAAGAUAAUUCUGCGGUUUGUGAAUCAUCCUUUAUUAUUAAACUUGACAAAAAAACACUCCAUAAUGAUUGCAUAGAUUGGAUAGACUCCACAGCUACAUACUGUAUGUAAUGCAUUUAUGCACUGUUAAAAAAGCAGAACCUUUCCACAGUAUUCAUCAUGUAGUAAUUAUAGUUCUGUCGCCUGUGGUUUGUUGUGUGUGCAAAAAGUCAUUACAUCCCUGUAUAAACCAGCCAGUCUUAACAAAACUGCCGUUAAUGGAACCUAAACUGUCCAGUCAAAUAUCUAGCUUUUUUCCCCUUGAGAAUGAUAUGCAAUGUUGUGUCAAACUUAAUGUAACCUAAUUCUGAUAUACUAUUUAUCAAAAGUUUUAACUCUGAGAAUUGAUGAAAAGAAAAACGUUUUCUCAGUUUUAAUCAAUGUAAAUAAUACUACUCUAACUUACCAUAUACUGCCCGUCUUUUCUGUACGAACUGAUGAUUGAUUUAACGAUAAAUGAAAAACAAAAUAUAUAACUCACUGCAUUGUCAGACAACAUUCAUACACUGUGUCAUAGCACACUGUAUAAAUCUUUCAGAAAGAUAACCUUUCAGAGAUGUAAAGAGGUAACUUUCACCUCAGAAAACUGCCCUACAUCAUUCUUUUGAAGUUAUAAUCAUCAAUUCUGCAAUUUGGUGUGUGAAAAAACCUACUUUUGACAUGCUGUUGCUUCAUGUUGCUUGAAAAAAACUGAAACACUUGAAACUUAAAUUCGCUGUAGAAAAAUUGAUGUACCUUAUUUUGUGUAGGCCUAUGGAUGCAACAUAUAUUCGACUUUUUUUUAACUUGAAUUGUUACAUUUUUAUUUCACAUAGGUAAAUUCGGAGCAAAAAAAUUCAGAUACAUGAUUUUCAAAGUAGUUAUUUUCAAUGCUAUAAAUUCGCUGUCUAAUAAAAUUCAAAUACUUC